RNAcentral lists this long non-coding RNA (791 nucleotides) under Sorghum bicolor (sorghum). RNAcentral's name for it is "long non-coding RNA (SBIC_LNC017361)". Lineage: Eukaryota; Viridiplantae; Streptophyta; Magnoliopsida; Poales; Poaceae. The record is from RNAcentral.
GUUAUGUUUUUGGUUGCUUCGGUUGCAUUGAGUACUUGUUUUUAGUUCUAGUCUUUUAGAGUUUUGAGUUCUUGUCACCACCUAGUCACAGUUGCGCAUCACCGUAUACCAUUGCUAUUCUAUUCGUGGUGAAGUAUCAGAUGUGGUUCAUACUUGUACUCGAUAUACUAAAUUUUGAGGUUCAGUUUUACUCUAGAGAGGGAGUAUACCCCUACUCUUUCUAGAAAAAGUUUGUGUGGCGAAUUGCUCAUUUACACUCUUUUAUUCAUAUAAUUAGUUUUUGAGGUCCCCUUCAAAAAAGAAAAAGAAAUAAAAGAGAAAGAAAGAAAGAAAAGAUAGAAAGAAAAGAGAAGAAAAAAAGAAAAAAAGGGGCCUAUUCAUAUUGUUUCUAGUAGGGCUGCUCAUUUUGUUUCUAGUGGGGUGUUGUGGUUUAUUUUGUGUCCUAGCUCGUGUCUCUAGCACGGUCUAGGCUACGACCAGCAUAUUACCACCACUGAACAUUAGUUAAGCUUGCUUUUAUAACUAAUGUGGUGCUAGUUUGUUCCUUGUUUUAGCCCAUCUAUAGCUCCACAUAUUCUAGAGCUUGGCAUGUCUUGUUGCUAUGACACCAAUACACUUUAUUCCAUUGUUGUGGACUUGUUGGUAGUCGAUCCCUCCUGUUAAGUAAGGUAAAAAUUGGUAAGAACUUGUCAAACAGGUUGAGUAAGCUCCAUGCUAUAGCCACGUCCUAAUAGUUGUAGAGAUUUUAUUCCUUCACUUGUUUUCUUGUUUCCAUUGUUUAUUUUAAACCA